UACGGAGGGAGCUAGCGUUGUUCGGAAUUACUGGGCGUAAAGCGCACGUAGGCGGCUUUGUAAGUUAGAGGUGAAAGCCCGGAGCUCAACUCCGGAAUUGCCUUUAAGACUGCAUCGCUUGAAUCCGGGAGAGGUGAGUGGAAUUCCGAGUGUAGAGGUGAAAUUCGUAGAUAUUCGGAAGAACACCAGUGGCGAAGGCGGCUCACUGGACCGGUAUUGACGCUGAUGCGCGAAAGCCAGGGGAGCAAACGGG
Molecule: ribosomal RNA, 253 nt
Filed under: uncultured bacterium
Lineage: Bacteria
Description: partial 16S ribosomal RNA
Rfam family: Bacterial small subunit ribosomal RNA
Source: RNAcentral